AACUCAGUGGUUGAGUGUUUGGCUGCUAACCAAAAGGUCAGUGGUUCAAGUCCACC
RNAcentral lists this transfer RNA (56 nucleotides) under Loxodonta africana (African savanna elephant). It matches the Rfam family "tRNA", at positions 9 to 63 of the family's 71-position model. From Rfam's summary of the family: Transfer RNA (tRNA) molecules are approximately 80 nucleotides in length. Their secondary structure includes four short double-helical elements and three loops (D, anti-codon, and T loops). The record is from Rfam by way of RNAcentral. Lineage: Eukaryota; Metazoa; Chordata; Mammalia; Proboscidea; Elephantidae.